This 520-nucleotide ribosomal RNA is filed under the name uncultured bacterium. RNAcentral's name for it is "partial 16S ribosomal RNA". The record is from RNAcentral.
AGCGACUGUGCAGGUUACCGCGGCUGCUGGCACGGAGUUAGCCGGUGCUUCUUCUGUGAGUGAUGUCCUUCCUGCCGGCUAUUAACCCGCAGGCCUUCUUCCUCACUGAAAGUGCUUUACAACCCGAAGGCCUUCUUCACACACGCGGCAUGGCUGGAUCAGGGUUGCCCCCAUUGUCCAAUAUUCCCCACUGCUGCCUCCCGUAGGAGUCUGGGCCGUGUCUCAGUCCCAGUGUGGCUGAUCAUCCUCUCAGACCAGCUACGGAUCGUCGCCUUGGUGAGCCGUUACCUCACCAACCAGCUAAUCCGACAUAGGCUCAUCCGAUAGCGCGAGGCCCGAAGGUCCCCCGCUUUCCCCCGUAGGGCGUAUGCGGUAUUAGCCUGGGUUUCCCCCAGGUUAUCCCCCCACUACCGGGCAGAUUCCUAUGCAUUACUCACCCGUCCGCCGCUCGCCACCAGGGAGCAAGCUCCCCGUGCUGCCGCUCGACUUGCAUGUGUUAGGCCUGCCGCCAGCGUUCAAU